AUUGAACGCUGGCGGAAUGCUUUACACAUGCAAGUCGAACGGCAGCACGGGGGCAACCCUGGUGGCGAGUGGCGAACGGGUGAGUAAUACAUCGGAACGUGCCCAGUCGUGGGGGAUAACGUAGCGAAAGUUACGCUAAUACCGCAUACGAUCUACGGAUGAAAGCGGGGGACCGUAAGGCCUCGCGCGAUUGGAGCGGCCGAUGUCAGAUUAGGUAGCUGGUGGGGUAAAGGCUCACCAAGCCGACGAUCUGUAGCUGGUCUGAGAGGACGACCAGGCACACUGGGACUGGGACACGGCCCAGACUCCUACGGGAGGCAGCAGUGGGGAAUUUUGGACAAUGGGCGCAAGCCUGAUCCAGCCAUUCCGCGUGCAGGACGAAGGCCUUCGGGUUGUAAACCGCUUUUGUACGGAACGAAAAGGCUCUGGUUAAUACCUGGGGCUCAUGACGGUACCGUAAGAAUAAGCACCGGCUAACUACGUGCCAGCCGCCGCCGUAA
Molecule: ribosomal RNA, 500 nt
Filed under: uncultured bacterium
Lineage: Bacteria
Description: partial 16S ribosomal RNA
Rfam family: Bacterial small subunit ribosomal RNA
Source: RNAcentral